This 110-nucleotide microRNA precursor is filed under the name Marmota monax (woodchuck). Lineage: Eukaryota; Metazoa; Chordata; Mammalia; Rodentia; Sciuridae. The record is from RNAcentral.
AAUGUUCUACAACUACUAUAUAUUGUGUGUGUGUGUGUGUGUGUGUAUAUAUAUAUAUAUAUAUAUAUAUACACACACACACACACACAUACAUGGUAUAGGUGUAUAUA